RNAcentral lists this ribosomal RNA (213 nucleotides) under Fissurina sp. RNAcentral's name for it is "partial large subunit ribosomal RNA". The record is from RNAcentral. Lineage: Eukaryota; Fungi; Ascomycota; Lecanoromycetes; Ostropales; Graphidaceae.
AAGCGCUUGCAACCAGACUCGCGCGCGGGUGUUCAGUCGUCCUUCGGGGCGGUGCGCUCUCCCGCGCCCGGGCCAGCAUCGGUUCGGGCGACCGGAUAAAGGUCCCGGGAACGUGAUUCUCCUCGGGGAAUGUUAUAGCCCGGGGCGCAAUGCGGCCAGCCCGGACCGAGGACCGCGCUUUUGCUAGGAUGCUGGCGUAAUGGUUGCCAGCGA